RNAcentral lists this long non-coding RNA (748 nucleotides) under Gorilla gorilla gorilla (western lowland gorilla). RNAcentral's name for it is "lncRNA (ENSGGOG00000044308.1)". The record is from RNAcentral. Lineage: Eukaryota; Metazoa; Chordata; Mammalia; Primates; Hominidae.
UUGUGUGCCUCCUUCUUUUCUUUCCCCUUGAGCUGUCCGGGAUUCACAGCAAGUUAUAAAGCGAAGAGCCUCACCUGCCUCUGAGACCACCUCCUCUUGGCCCAGCUCAGUAGCUGGUCCUCAGCAACCUGAGCGGCUCACUUGGGAGGCUGCGUGGCUGAGCAGGAGAAGCACUUACAGUGGAAGCGAGGCCUGUGAUGCUGUCAACUUGCUUCUUAACCCUAGGUCAGUCAAUUACUUUCCCUGUGUUUCAAUUCUUUUUGCCACCUGUACGGUGGGAAUAAUACCUAUUUGUUCAAUUCCUAGGAUGCUGUGAGAAUUAAAUUACAUAGUAGCUGCCAAAUAAUUUGGCUUUCUUGGAGUUGGACACCACCUGAACCUGAGUGCAAUGAUUGUGCACUUCUUAAUGGCCUCCAUCUCUGGCCAAGCUGCCUUGGGACUAGAACAAUCAUCUAAGUCCCAGUUUCCAGCCUAAAACAGCACGAGGACAAGGCCAGGAGGCCACAGCAAGGCUGUAAUCAGAACCCACAAGGAUUGCAUGGAGAUGCUGCAGUGCCGCCACCACCCAACGGCCGGAGCCCCCAGCAAAGGGUUUUCCACAAAAUGGGAGAAAAGUAUAAGAAGCUCUUCCUUCUAUGGAGCCCCAAUACAAUGCUUCGUACCUAGAAGGCUCUCAGAAACAGAAAUCUGGUGAAUUAGUUAAAUUAUAUGCUUCUCUGCCCUCUGCACUCCGUAAGAAAAAAAGAAA